UACGUAGGUGGCAAGCGUUGUCCGGAAUUAUUGGGCGUAAAGCGUCCGCAGGUGGCAGUUCAAGUCUGCUGUCAAAGACCGGGGCUUAACUUCGGAAAAGCAGUGGAAACUGAACAGCUAGAGUAUGGUAGGGGCAGAGGGAAUUCCUGGUGUAGCGGUGAAAUGCGUAGAGAUCAGGAAGAACAUCGGUGGCGAAGGCGCUCUGCUGGACCAUAACUGACACUCAGGGACGAAAGCUAGGGGAGCGAAUGGG
This 253-nucleotide ribosomal RNA is filed under the name uncultured bacterium. Its description in RNAcentral is "partial 16S ribosomal RNA". It matches the Rfam family "Bacterial small subunit ribosomal RNA", at positions 524 to 776 of the family's 1533-position model. The record is from RNAcentral.